RNAcentral lists this long non-coding RNA (327 nucleotides) under Gallus gallus (chicken). The record is from RNAcentral. Lineage: Eukaryota; Metazoa; Chordata; Aves; Galliformes; Phasianidae.
UAGCAGAUCAUGUGAUGAACACGUUCUUCUCAUGUUUUCCAGGACUAUCUUAAAACAUAAAGCACUGGAGUAUGUACCACACAACAUGUGUAGAGAAACAAAAAUAACCAUUUUUUCCCCCAGUGAUAUAGAUGAAGAACAUCUGUGUGAAUACACAUCUCUGCAUGUGUCUUGGUAUCUUUCAGCUGUGAGAGGAAGUAUUACAAGGUAUUCGAGCUGCACUUAGCAAAGAAUACCCUUAUAUAAUUUUGUUUUUCAUGACCCAUCCCCUUCUAAAAUACCUAUAACAAUUAGGUCAGUCAAAUCAUCCACAUGCUCUACAGCUAU